UUCAUUUUUUUGUAUUAUGAAAAAGAAUGAAACUAGAACAGAAUUUCAUUAAAAAUAGUAAAAGUAUGAUACACUAGAAAAGGCUCACUGUAUAUAUAAUAUCAUUCAUAUUUAAAUAUUAAUAAAAGAUCGUAAUAGUUCCUAAAAUUCUUUGCAAACAAGAAGCACAUUGCUACAUGUUGUUAGAUUCUGAUGUUAUUAGUGGAAAGUUUUGUGUAUCUAUAAGUAAAUCUUCAUUUAUAUUUGCUUUUUCUUCAGGUUCAAAUUCAUCUACAUCCUCUCCAUCAAUUAUUACUUGAGGACCAGUAGAUUUAUAUUGGAAUGCAGAAUGUGAUAAAUCAACUUCAACAGGAAAUAACAUUGCAGAGGAUAAUAAGUCCCUUUACCAAAUUUCGCACGAGCUUCUUGUCGACAUCUUAAGAUUAGACGAUAUUCAUAAUUGCCUGUUUCCACUCGAUAAAAAGGUUCUUCGUAACUUUGUUCCUCAUCAUCCAUUUCUUUUAUUUUCAAGCAAUAAGAAAGAUAUUCAAAUUUUGCAUCAGCAUAUUUGCUUAUGGUUAAUCGAGUAUCUGGAAUAGCUUUGUGAAGAUAUGUGCCUAAAUCAUUUAAUAUAGGUUUCAAAUUUUUUAAAAUUGUUAUUCCAUAUUUUUCCAUUUGUCUAUGUUGUUCACCAAAUUGUCUGAAAGCUUCACUAGCUCGUGGUUGUGGUUCUCUUACUCCUAUUGCAGCAAAGGCAUCACCAAAUACUAAAAUAUGCAAUGUAAUGAUACUUAAAAUAUAUAUAUAUAUAUAUAAAAUUAUAAAUAUAUAUAUAUAAUUAUAAAUAUAUAUAUAUAAUCUCAAAAUUGAAUAAUUUUUGACACAGUUAAAUUUAAAAGUGAUUUUUGGAAUUUGAUAAUUUAUUUAAAAAUGUAUAACAAUACCUUUGUAUAUUUGUAUUAAAUCAAAAAAGCUAUGUAAAGUAGCAUUAGCAUGGGAAACUAAACCUCUAUACAAAUUUUCUGUGCGCUGCAAUGCCAUUAAUCGUUGUACAAGUGCGUCGUUACAAAGAAUGGCACGUGAUAAUCCAAGUGCAUCUGCUGUUGCACUUCCCAUUCCUUCAAUUAAUCUAUGUUUUACCUAAAAUUAAUUUAAGGUUUAAAAUAAUGUAAUUAUUUAUAAUAAAUAUAUAAGUUUAGACAAUAAAUACCUUUUUCAAAGCUAUAUCAAGAGUACGACCUUGUUUAGGAUCAGCAUGUAAUUUAUUAUAAUUAAUACUGACUUCAGAAUCACAAGAUUGUAUCAUUUUUGCAACUUCUACUUUUGUCUUUCCUUUAACUGAUACUCCAUUUACUGCUACAAGUUCAUCUCCUGAUUGUAAAGUACCAUCUAUAGCUGCAGGUGAAUAGUCAAAAAUUUGUACAAUAUACAAGCAGGGGCAUAAUGGUGCUCCACCUCCAAUACUUAUGCCAAUAAGAUUACUGCUAUCUUUUUGUAUUACAAUAUUGCCAGAAGUUAUGGUCAUACCCCUGUAUAAAUUAAUAAAACAAAAGAAUACAUUAAUAUAUUGUUUCACAUAAAUUAAUGGUAUAAUACUU
Molecule: unclassified non-coding RNA, 1577 nt
Filed under: Bombus terrestris (buff-tailed bumblebee)
Lineage: Eukaryota; Metazoa; Arthropoda; Insecta; Hymenoptera; Apidae
Description: misc RNA ENSBTSG00005037217.1
Source: RNAcentral